AUUUAUAUACAUUGAUGAGAUCCCCUCUGAGCCUUCUCUGCUUCAGGCUGAAAGGUCCCAGAUCUUGGAGACUUUCCUCAGGAGGGAUGCUCCAGUCCCUCCAUCACCUUGGCAGCCCUUUGUUAGACUGUCUCCGGAAGAGAGGGGAGCUGAAUAUAUAUUCAUGAUCUCCAAACCAGUGAAGAGUUGAUGAUAGAAGCAUUGCCUAUAUAGAUCUGAAGGACAUGGAAUGGGGUAAAAGGAAUAGAAGAUGCUAUCACUGCAGUGGAGAAGAUCUGACAGAGAAUGAAAGUGGGCACCGUUUUA
Molecule: long non-coding RNA, 306 nt
Organism: Empidonax traillii (willow flycatcher)
Lineage: Eukaryota; Metazoa; Chordata; Aves; Passeriformes; Tyrannidae
Exons: 3
Source: RefSeq, a predicted model, not a curated record